This 1282-nucleotide long non-coding RNA is filed under the name Fukomys damarensis (Damara mole-rat). RNAcentral describes it as "lncRNA (ENSFDAG00000028216.1)". Lineage: Eukaryota; Metazoa; Chordata; Mammalia; Rodentia; Bathyergidae. The record is from RNAcentral.
AUGAAAAGAACUCCCGAUUCCGAUUAUUGCUCAAAGACUUUCUUUCCUUCUGUUACUGGGGCUGCCGCGGUCCGGGGCACCACUGUUUCUUGCGCGGGCCUCGGAGGGAGCCCGCUGAUGCUCUCCCUCGUAGCGUCACAGUCCACAUGUUCUGCACGUGUCGUCAGAAUGAUUAUACAGCAAAAUGCCGACUUGAGGACGACUCCCUUGCCUUCCCCAUUGAACACCCUGACGGCUCUUGUGACUUUCAAACUAGCGACCAUCCCUUUGCCGAGCGUGGGCCCACUUCCUGCUCUGACUUCACUCCACUCUGCCAGUCCUGUCUCCCAUCUGCUGCCACACCCUCUGUCAGGCAUCAGAGGCCCAGGAAUUUAUGGCGAUAGCUCAUACCUGAUCAGACCCAUAGUACACCCAAGACAGGUGGGAAGAGCCCCACACUCCCGACAAGGUCUGGGCCUUGGAGGAGGGCUCACCACACAGCCCGUAGAGCAGCCACACACCAGCCCUGGAGCCUGCCCUUCAGUGCCAAGUAAAGAGACCCCCAGAAGCAGCUCCUCCUGUCCCUUCCAAGCAUCCUGGUGACUGCAGCCUCACUCAAUGUUGUGACUGCAGUGUCAGAAGAGACAGAGCCGGCAUAGUCCUGCUGAGCCUGUCUUGGACUCCUACUCCGGAGACGAUGAGAUGAUCAUUGUUAAAAGGCCCUGCGCCGUGAGCGUGAUUCACCCUGAAGGAUGAUAACCAAGAGGCUCGGGGUUGAGUGAUGGUGAUGCGGGUGUGUCUGGGGUGCUGGAAUUAGGGCUGCAGAGUGCAUGGAGGAAAAGGUCUCACCGCAGUCAGGUGUGAGCCUUCAGAGAGGGAAGUGGUUGGCAGGAGAUAGCACCCUUGGGAAAACUGCACAUAGCAGUCAAAGUAUCAGAGAAUUCUCUAGUGAAGGUGGCUGAAAUCACCGAAGAAGGAGGCUGUCAUUUAGGGGUUUUUUGAUGUUGACAGAAAAUGGAGCAAGAGAAAAAUAAAAUACUAUGAAAAUGUCCUUCCUUAGCACUUGUCUCACACACACACACACACACACACACACACACACACACACACAAACAGAAAACAAUCUUGAGCACAGACUUAGUCUUGGCAGUAAACAUUUUCAAAACAGAAAAGCUAACUUCAACCCAGUUUGGAUAUCCUCGAGGGUAGGAAGAGUGGCUGUUUCUCUUCAAGGAGAGGACUCUUCCUCGCUGGCCAGGGUCCUGCAGUGACUGCUGUGGUGUCCCCCUGUCCUGCCUACUAC